This 301-nucleotide ribosomal RNA is filed under the name uncultured bacterium. RNAcentral describes it as "partial 16S ribosomal RNA". It matches the Rfam family "Bacterial small subunit ribosomal RNA", at positions 509 to 809 of the family's 1533-position model. The record is from RNAcentral.
CAGUAGCCGCGGUAAUACCGAGGGUGCGAGCGUUAAUCGGAUUUACUGGGCGUAAAGCGUGCGUAGGCGGCUUUUUAAGUCGGAUGUGAAAUCCCUGAGCUUAACUUAGGAAUUGCAUUCGAUACUGGGAAGCUAGAGUAUGGGAGAGGAUGGUAGAAUUCCAGGUGUAGCGGUGAAAUGCGUAGAGAUCUGGAGGAAUACCGAUGGCGAAGGCAGCCAUCUGGCCUAAUACUGACGCUGAGGUACGAAAGCAUGGGGAGCAAACAGGAUUAGAUACCCCCGUAGUCCCUGUCUCUUAUAA